GUCAUUUAGAGGAAGUAAAAGUCGUAACAAGGUUUCCGUAGGUGAACCUGCGGAAGGAUCAUUAAAGAGUAAGGGUGCUCAGCGCCCGACCUCCAACCCUUUGUUGUUAAAACUACCUUGUUGCUUUGGCGGGACCGCUCGGUCUCGAGCCGCUGGGGAUUCGUCCCAGGCGAGCGCCCGCCAGAGUUAAACCAAACUCUUGUUAUUUAACCGGUCGUCUGAGUUAAAAUUUUGAAUAAAUCAAAACUUUCAACAACGGAUCUCUUGGUUCUCGCAUCGAUGAAGAACGCAGCGAAAUGCGAUAAGUAAUGUGAAUUGCAGAAUUCAGUGAAUCAUCGAAUCUUUGAACGCACAUUGCGCCCCUUGGUAUUCCGAGGGGCAUGCCUGUUCGAGCGUCAUUACACCACUCAAGCUAUGCUUGGUAUUGGGCGUCGUCCUUAGUUGGGCGCGCCUUAAAGACCUCGGCGAGGCCACUCCGGCUUUAGGCGUAGUAGAAUUUAUUCGAACGUCUGUCAAAGGAGAGGAACUCUGCCGACUGAAACCUUUAUUUUUCUAGGUUGACCUCGGAUCAGGUAGGGAUACCCGCUGAACUUAAGCAUAUCAAUA
This 606-nucleotide ribosomal RNA is filed under the name fungal sp. APA-2013. Its description in RNAcentral is "eukaryotic LSU rRNA". The stretch from base 245 to 398 matches the Rfam family "5.8S ribosomal RNA". The record is from RNAcentral. Lineage: Eukaryota; Fungi.